CCUACGGGAGGCAGCAGUGGGGAAUAUUGCGCAAUGGGCGAAAGCCUGACGCAGCGACGCCGCGUGAGGGAUGAAGGUCUUCGGAUCGUAAACCUCUGUCAGCAGGGAAGAACGGUCACUGUGCUAAUCAGCAGUGAAUUGACCGUACCUGCAAAGGAAGCACCGGCUAACUCCGUGCCAGCAGCCGCGGUAAUACGGAGGGUGCGGGCGUUAAUCGGAAUUACUGGGCGUAAGGCGCUCGUAGGCGGUAUGUCAAGUCAAGGGUGAAAUCCCCGCGCUCAACGGGGGAACUGCCUUUGAAACUGGCAGACUGGAGUGGGAGAGAGGAGAGUGGAAUUCGAGGUGUAGGGG
Molecule: ribosomal RNA, 351 nt
Filed under: uncultured bacterium
Lineage: Bacteria
Description: partial 16S ribosomal RNA
Rfam family: Bacterial small subunit ribosomal RNA
Source: RNAcentral